GCAUAGAUAGCUCAGUUUGUAGAGCGCGCGCUAAGCAUGCGCGAGGUCUCGAGAUCGAUGAGAUCGAUUCUUGAUGCC
Non-coding RNA from Pelagophyceae sp. CCMP2097, 78 nucleotides. The record is from the annotation of a GenBank genome assembly. NCBI's taxonomy places the organism in Eukaryota, Pelagophyceae.